Molecule: ribosomal RNA, 489 nt
Filed under: Triticum aestivum (bread wheat)
Lineage: Eukaryota; Viridiplantae; Streptophyta; Magnoliopsida; Poales; Poaceae
Description: partial small subunit ribosomal RNA
Source: RNAcentral
AUGGCCAAGCUGCACCGGCUCAUCUCGGUCGUGCUCAGGCUCGUCGCGGCCGUCACCGCGGCCGCAGCGGCGAUAAUCAUGGUGACCAGCCGCGAGACCACCAGCUUGUUCGGCCUGGAAAUCGAGGCCAAAUUCUCCCACAUUCCCUCAUUUAUCUUCUUCGUGGUGGCCUACGCCGUGGCAUGCGUCUACAGCCUGCUCGUCAUCCUCGUGCCGCCCGGGGGCGCCGCCUCGAGAUUGGUCGUCAUGACCGAUGUGGUAAUGGGGAUGGUGCUCACCGGCGCCGUGGCGGCCACGGGCGCGAUAGCGGAGGUCGGGAGGAACGGCAACGAGCACGCCGGGUGGCUGGCGAUCUGCGAGCAGGUGCACGGCUACUGCAACCAGGUCAUGGGGGCCCUCAUCGCCGGCUUCGUCGCGCUCGUCGUCUACUUCCUCAUCAUCAUGCACUCCCUCCACGCGGUCACCGAUACCAUGUGCCCGUGCCAUUAG